Molecule: non-coding RNA, 1972 nt
Organism: Meleagris gallopavo (turkey)
Lineage: Eukaryota; Metazoa; Chordata; Aves; Galliformes; Phasianidae
Source: RefSeq, a predicted model, not a curated record
CUGUGCUGCCGGAAGGGGUGGAGCCUGGAUGCACCUCUCCUAGACCCCAUUUAAGAGCUGACUGCCAAUAGGGAAGGAUCUUUUUCUGGUGAUCUCUCUUCUCGACUUUUUAGUAUGAGUCCAGGACAUGGGUGGAAAGGCAGGGCCAACCCAGGGGAGCUCAGUGUAAUUGUAUCUGGGUGACCAGAAGGGACGAAACUUGGCUCCAUUCCUUCCCAGGCCUCGUUCAAGGGCUAGCAGUGGAGGCAAGGCUACUUAUUUGAAGCUCCUUGCCUAAUUGAUGCCUUCUAAGGAGAGGAGAAACUUUGUGGCAUGUGUUCAAGAAGCAUAAGCUUUCCAUGGAGUAAAACUGACUGAAAGUAAAAGCAUAUGUGUUCCUAUAUUCUCUAGAUACUAUACAUACAACUGGAUUUGUAACUAUUGCUUAAGCAUACUGGCAGAUGCUGCACACUUACCCUAAUGACACAACAUUCAAGACUGGCAUAUGCUCUUUGCUAAAAACUUCAUGCUGCCUUUACUACUUGCAACUGUCCUGUCAGUGUGGCUGUGAUUGAGUUUGUGUUGUGUCUCUUACUGUUUUAUCUUGAAGUAUUUCUUGGUAGCUUAGUAUGCCUUCAGAACAAAGAGGGUUUCUAGAAGGAUUAGGGAGAGCUUGUGAUAAGCCAUCUUUAUGUUUCCAUCUCUUCUAACUGUGUGAUAGGACAGCCUAUCUAAUGAUUUAGAGAUAUCAAUAUAAAAGGACAGUUGCCUUGUAUUCCUUAUAACUAUUACAGGAGAAAAAUAAUUGUGGAGUGUUUUUUUUUAAUGCUUAAAGCAAUGUUAGAAAGAAGUGAGACAGCUCUUAUCACUAUCUGCAAUAGACACUGUGGUAGAGGCUUGCCCCUUAAUGACCUGCUUAUGAUGAAGGUGCUUGUGUUAGCUGGCAGCUCCUGUGCUUCUGACAUGGAACAACUUAAGCAGAAGCACCCUCUCAAUUUCUGCUAGAGUCAUCUAGGCACUUAGACUGAAUUUCCAAGCUGGCCUCUGUUCUGCCAUCAUAGGCAGAUGGUGAAUGCCCCCUAUGUGUGAGCCUACCCAGGAUCUGUGGCAGGACAUGGAAGCUGUUUCCUGAAUGAAUGGAGAAACCAACAGUAUGAAGCUAAGCACUUGCUCAGUCACUACUCAAGUGGUGAUGUGAGUAACCCUCACAGAGGCUCCAGGGCAGCCUCACACAGACCAUGGCUCCUGCAGACCUGUGGGUGACUCAUGGAGGAAAGAGGACCUGACAGAUAGCUGCUCUCACGCUGCCACCAGGAGAAACAUACCCUGAGGACCAUCAGUAUUUUUUGUUAAGACAGCAACAUUCAUGGCUUUGUCAUCUGAAAUCCAGGAAAAAAAACUCUACCUCCAGUGUGGUAUUAGAAAGUGGUGUUCUUUUAUCCCUCAGGGCUUGUACUGAGCAACUUCUCAAGCAAGUAUGCCCUCUCAGAGUUCAGGUUCUAAGUUUCAACAGUUAACACACACACAUAUAUAUAUAUAUAUACAGUACAUUGGCAUACAUAUUCUCUUUCAGGGACUCAUAAAUUAAUAUCUCUUUGGGUAUGCUCAGUGGUAUCUAGGAUUUUCACCGUUGGCUUCAUCACUGAGACUUUUGAUUCCCUUUCAGCCAGUUUGGAAAAUUUGUUUCUUAUUAAGUCAUAGAGAGUACAAUGCAUGUGGAACCUGAGGAAGAUGGCCCUGGCAACUUUUGAUGCAAAAGAUACAAAUAUUCUGUUGUGACUCCAGUGCUUCUUGUGAGGCAAAACCAUUGAAGCAGAAGAUAACAGUAUUCUGCUGCAUCCCCAGUGCAGAAUUAUUGGGGAAAACAACACCUUUUGCUGACUGAAGUUGAAAUGGGAAGUUUUUAGCUUGCCACCGGACACAUAAGAGUCGCAGCCGCACAAGCUGGGCUGCUCGCUUCCCAAUGGCGAGCCGCGGCCUCCCGCCCUCCCGC